UCUGUAUGGUGGACAGCUAGGUUUUCGUUUCGAAGAAGAGCGCUGCAAAAUGCGAAAAUGACCGUUUACCGCAUCUAGACGGCACGCUCUCGAAUGGUGGCAUACCCCGUGUUUUUACAAAUACGGAUACAGUUUUGAGAUCCAGUUUG
This 149-nucleotide ribosomal RNA is filed under the name Vrihiamoeba italica. Its description in RNAcentral is "5.8S rRNA". It matches the Rfam family "5.8S ribosomal RNA". From Rfam's summary of the family: 5.8S ribosomal RNA (5.8S rRNA) is a component of the large subunit of the eukaryotic ribosome. It is transcribed by RNA polymerase I as part of the 45S precursor that also contains 18S and 28S rRNA. Lineage: Eukaryota; Heterolobosea; Gruberellidae. The record is from RNAcentral.